GUACGACUAUGACCUCAACGACGCUGUGGCACGCAGGAACCAUAUACCCGUUUCCAGCGGGAAGCACUGCGGGAUCAUCCUUCAACGGUGAGUAACACUUUUUUCAUUCUAAGUUAGUUAUACUAUUUAUGGGCUGCUCGAAUCCAACUGGAGGCCAAAGAAUCACACAGCUUCGCAUGGUUUCGCAUUGCAUCGUCGUCACGCUUUCCUUGUUGCAUGCGCGCCCACGGAACCACGAGUGGCCGGAGCGCGUGGAUUCCCGCCACCGCUGUCUAUAUAAUGCUCGCUGAUAUCCGUAGAUUACAGGAGAUCAGCGAUUAGCUUUGAUUAACAGAGAUAGCUACCUUCCAAUAUUGUUCGUGCGUACUUCACACUACCUUGCAGGACGCCCAAUUUCUUCAUCCACCUGGAAGGUC
Molecule: small RNA, 416 nt
Filed under: Histoplasma capsulatum var. duboisii H88
Lineage: Eukaryota; Fungi; Ascomycota; Eurotiomycetes; Onygenales; Ajellomycetaceae
Description: Histoplasma capsulatum H88 hypothetical RNA
Source: RNAcentral